RNAcentral lists this transfer RNA (75 nucleotides) under Bacillota bacterium. Its description in RNAcentral is "tRNA-Thr". It matches the Rfam family "tRNA". From Rfam's summary of the family: Transfer RNA (tRNA) molecules are approximately 80 nucleotides in length. Their secondary structure includes four short double-helical elements and three loops (D, anti-codon, and T loops). RNAcentral also lists the same sequence under 1 other name. Lineage: Bacteria; Bacillati; Bacillota. The record is from RNAcentral.
GCCGACGUAGCUCAACGGUAGAGCAGCUGACUUGUAAUCAGCAGGUUGCGGGUUCGAGUCCCAUCGUCGGCUCCA